GUUUCAUUUUCUUGUUUUGCAGGUUGUGAUCCUUCAGUCAUCCGCGAACAACAAUCUAAGGAAUUAUGGUUGGAGACGAUUAUGACAAUGGUAACGAGCAUGAUGAUUUCACUUCUUCCUUAUUUACCAGCGCUCCGGCUUUGUCGCAUACACCACAUAGUUUGUUGAUGUUACUGGUAUAUACAAAUGUGGGGGGUUUACAUUCUAUUUGUAAGCUAAAGAGUCAGGUAAGUCUCCUUAGCUAAUCUGCCUCAACCGAAUAUGAUUUGUACUCUAUCCUAUUAAAACUUUUAAACUGAGUAUUCAAUUUAGCUUACUAGAAAUACAUCUUAUUGAAAUUUACUCGAUGUUAUAAAAUGAUUUAGGCGUGUUUUUAUUUUGAAUACCUGGGUAGAUCUUUUUUUAUAAUUGGAAAUAAAUUUGAGAAAUUAAAAGAGUACCUUAAAGCAAUAUAUAAUGUCUAUUUUGAUUCAUCUUGAAUUCAAAUAUAUUUUUUUUUUUUUUGAAGGAUAAAAGUAGAAAUGCGGUGAGCGUGGAUCGUUGAAUUCAAAUAUAUUAAAUUGAUAGAUAUUGGUAAAGUUAUGGAUUUUAUUAUGAAGGUUGGUACAUUCUUCUAACAAUUCAACUUUUAGCAUUGUCAAAGUGGAUAUGCAUCAAAUUAGAUGCACUUAUCGAAUGCCCAUCCAAAGAAUUUUACAGGAUCACAUGGUGGAAUGAUUUUGACGGCUGAACUUAAUGAAUUCUCUUGCAUAGGAGUAUAUUAAUUUGGAAGAUAAUGCACUACAUAACUAUUUCUUUAUGGUGUGAAGUUUGUAUACUGUGAUGAAGAUUUACUAUACUAUUUAGUGGCCAUGGAAAGGCAAUCAAUAUUUACUUAGUUGAGCAAGGAGAUGAGGUAUGUCUUCAGCUUGCUUGAAUAUCUUUUAUGAAGCUAAAUUUUUAUUUACAUAAGAAGAAGACCUUUAUAUUAAUAUGUAAGGUAUAAGACAAUCAAGUUUGAUUUGUGGUCUAAGAUAAUAAGGAUGUGUGAUAGUAUAAUACACUACACAAGAAUAUUGUUUUGAAAAGCUUCUUAUGAAGUUUGUAUUCUGAAAAGCGAGAUGAGUAUCCCUUAUGAUCAAUACUACUUGGAAAAAAGAAUUGAUGUUUAAUUCACUUGUGACAAUUUAAUUGAAAUCCAUAUAUCCUUAAACAUUUAUACACAUAUGUG
Molecule: long non-coding RNA, 1210 nt
Filed under: Medicago truncatula (barrel medic)
Lineage: Eukaryota; Viridiplantae; Streptophyta; Magnoliopsida; Fabales; Fabaceae
Description: long non-coding RNA (MTRU_LNC006714)
Source: RNAcentral